GACGAACGCUGGCGGCGUGCUUAACACAUGCAAGUCGAACGGAAAGGCCAUGCUUUUGUGGGGUGCUCGUGUGGCGAGCGGGGGAGUAAAACGUGAGUAAACUGCCCUUGUAUUUGGGAUAAAUUUAGGAAACUGCGGCUAAUACAGGAUAGGAGCUCCUGCAGCACGGUGGGGGAUGGAAAGUUACGGCGGUUGGGGAUGGACUAGAGGCUUAUCCGCUGGUUUGUGGAGUAGUGGCUUCCCAGGGUUUUGAAGGGUAGCCGGCCUGGGAGGUCGACCGGCGUCAUGGGUACUGAGAUACGCCCCAGACUCCUACGGGAGGCAGCGGUGGGGAAUAUGGCACAAUGGGCGGAAGCCUGAGGCGGCAACCCCGCGUUCGUGAUGACGGCCUUCGGGGUGUAAACCGCUUUCGCAUGUGACGAAGCGUGAGUGACGGUAAUGGGUAAAGAAGCACCGGCUAACUACGUG
Molecule: ribosomal RNA, 468 nt
Filed under: uncultured bacterium
Lineage: Bacteria
Description: partial 16S ribosomal RNA
Rfam family: Bacterial small subunit ribosomal RNA
Source: RNAcentral